GACGAACGCUGGCGGCGUGCCUAAUACAUGCAAGUCGAACGCAGUGGGGACGGGUGAGUAACACGUGGGUAACCUCCCAUCAGAGGGGAUAACACUUGGAAACAGGUGCUAAACCGAUACUGAUGGAUGGACCUGGGGUGCAUUAGCUAGUUGGUGGGGUAACGGCGCACCAAGGCCACGAGGCAUAGCCGAGCGGAGAGGGUGAUCAGCCACACUGGGACUGAGACAAGGCCCAGACUCCUACGGGAGGCAGCAUGAGGGAAUGUUAGACAAGGGACGAAAGGCUGACCGAGCAACGCCGCGUGAGUGAAGAAGGUUUUCGGAUCGUAAAACUCUGUUGUUAGAGAAGCGGUAUCUAACCAAAAAGCCACGGCUAACUACGUGCCAGCAGCCGCGGUAAUAC
Molecule: ribosomal RNA, 403 nt
Filed under: uncultured bacterium
Lineage: Bacteria
Description: partial 16S ribosomal RNA
Rfam family: Bacterial small subunit ribosomal RNA
Source: RNAcentral